This 417-nucleotide ribosomal RNA is filed under the name uncultured bacterium. Its description in RNAcentral is "bacterial SSU rRNA". It matches the Rfam family "Bacterial small subunit ribosomal RNA", at positions 355 to 764 of the family's 1533-position model. The record is from RNAcentral.
UGGGGAAUAUUGGACAAUGGGCGCAAGCCUGAUCCAGCCAUGCCGCGUGGGUGAAGAAGGCCUUCGGGUUGUAAAGCCCUUUUGUUGGGAAAGAAAUCCUGUCGGCUAAUACCCGGCGGGGAUGACGGUACCCAAAGAAUAAGCACCGGCUAACUUCGUGCCAGCAGCCGCGGUAAUACGAAGGGUGCAAGCGUUACUCGGAAUUACUGGGCGUAAAGCGUGCGUAGGUGGUUGUUUAAGUCUGAUGUGAAAGCCCUGGGCUCAACCUGGGAAUGGCAUUGGAAACUGGGCAGCUAGAGUGCGGUAGAGGGUAGUGGAAUUCCCGGUGUAGCAGUGAAAUGCGUAGAGAUCGGGAGGAACAUCUGUGGCGAAGGCGACUGCCUGGACCAGCACUGACACUGAGGCACGAAAGCGUGG